AUUAAACACUCCGCCUGGGGAGGUACGUUCGCAAGACUGAAACUCAAAGGAAUUGACGGGGGCCCGCACAAGCGGUAGAGCAUGUGGUUUAAUUCGAAGCAACGCGAAGAACCUUACCAGGUCUUGACAUCCUCUGACAACCCUAGAGAUAGGGCUUCCCCUUCGGGGGCAGAGUGACAGGUGGUGCAUGGUUGUCGUCAGCUCGUGUCGUGAGAUGUUGGGUUAAGUCCCGCAACGAGCGCAACCCUUGAUCUUAGUUGCCAGCAUUCAGUUGGGCACUCUAAGGUGACUGCCGGUGACAAACCGGAGGAAGGUGGGGAUGACGUCAAAUCAUCAUGCCCCUUAUGACCUGGGCUACACACGUGCUACAAUGGGCAGAACAAAGGGCAGCGAAGCCGCGAGGCUAAGCCAAUCCCACAAAUCUGUUCUCAGUUCGGAUCGCAGUCUGCAACUCGACUGCGUGAAGCUGGAAUCGCUAGUAAUCGCGGAUCAGCAUGCCGCGGUGAAUACGUUCCCGGGCCUUGUACACACCGCCCGUCACACCACGAGAGUUUGUAACACCCGAAGUCGGUGAGGUAACCUUUUGGAGCCAGCCGCCGAAGGUGGGACAGAUGAUUGGGGUGAAGUCGUAACAAGGUAGCCGUAUCGGAAGGUGCGGCUGGAUCACCUCCUUUCUA
RNAcentral lists this ribosomal RNA (677 nucleotides) under Bacillus licheniformis. RNAcentral's name for it is "bacterial SSU rRNA". It matches the Rfam family "Bacterial small subunit ribosomal RNA", at positions 859 to 1533 of the family's 1533-position model. The record is from RNAcentral. Lineage: Bacteria; Bacillati; Bacillota; Bacilli; Caryophanales; Bacillaceae.